CCCUUAUCGUUAAUUGCCAGCAUUCAGUUGGGCACUUUAAGAGACUGCCGGUGUUUAAACCGGAGGAAGGUGGGAUGACGUCAAGUCCUCAUGGCCUUUAUGCUUAGGGCUACACACGUGCUACAAUGGGUGGUACAAAGAGAAGCCAACUCGCGAGAGCGCGCCAAUCUCAAAAAGCCAUCCUCAGUUCGGAUUGGAGUCUGCAACUCGACUCCAUGAAGUUGGAAUCGCUAGUAAUCGCGGAUCAGCAUGCCGCGGUGAAUAUGUUCCCGGGCCUU
RNAcentral lists this ribosomal RNA (278 nucleotides) under uncultured Smithella sp. RNAcentral describes it as "partial 16S ribosomal RNA". It matches the Rfam family "Bacterial small subunit ribosomal RNA", at positions 1102 to 1382 of the family's 1533-position model. The record is from RNAcentral. Lineage: Bacteria; Pseudomonadati; Thermodesulfobacteriota; Syntrophia; Syntrophales; Smithellaceae.